This 253-nucleotide ribosomal RNA is filed under the name uncultured bacterium. RNAcentral describes it as "partial 16S ribosomal RNA". It matches the Rfam family "Bacterial small subunit ribosomal RNA", at positions 524 to 776 of the family's 1533-position model. The record is from RNAcentral.
UACGUAGGGUGCGAGCGUUGUCCGGAAUCAUUGGGCGUAAAGGGCGCGUAGGUGGUGGGGUAAGUCGGAUGUGAAAUCCCGGGGCUCAACCCCGGAACUGCAUUCGAUACUGCCUUGCUCGAGUACUGGAGAGGAGACUGGAAUUUACGGUGUAGCAGUGAAAUGCGUAGAUAUCGUAAGGAAGACCAGUGGCGAAGGCGAGUCUCUGGACAGUUACUGACACUGAGGCACGAAGGCCAGGGGAGCAAACGGG